This 406-nucleotide ribosomal RNA is filed under the name Verrucomicrobiota bacterium. RNAcentral's name for it is "Verrucomicrobia bacterium partial 16S ribosomal RNA". It matches the Rfam family "Bacterial small subunit ribosomal RNA", at positions 355 to 776 of the family's 1533-position model. The record is from RNAcentral. Lineage: Bacteria; Pseudomonadati; Verrucomicrobiota.
UGGGGAAUAUUGGACAAUGGAGGGAACUCUGAUCCAGCAAUUCUGUGUGUGUGAAGAAGGUUUUAGGACUGUAAAACACUUUUAGUAGGGAAGAAAAAAAUGACGGUACCUACAGAAGAAGCAACGGCUAAAUACGUGCCAGCAGCCGCGGUAAUACGUAUGUUGCGAGCGUUAUCCGGAAUUAUUGGGCUUAAAGGGCAUCUAGGCGGUAAGACAAGUUGAAGGUGAAAACCUGUGGCUCAACCAUAGGCUUGCCUACAAAACUGUUGAACUAGAGUACUGGAAAGUGGGUGGAACUACACGAGUAGAGGUGAAAUUCGUAGAUAUGUGUAGGAAUGCCGAUGAUGAAGAUAACUCACUGGACAGAAACUGACGCUGAAGUGCGAAAGCUAGGGGAGCAAACAGG